RNAcentral lists this ribosomal RNA (1200 nucleotides) under Triticum aestivum (bread wheat). RNAcentral describes it as "partial small subunit ribosomal RNA". Lineage: Eukaryota; Viridiplantae; Streptophyta; Magnoliopsida; Poales; Poaceae. The record is from RNAcentral.
AUGAAGGCCCGUCACAAACAUAAUCAGAAUGAUGCCUCGAUCCCGCCACUGUCGAUCGAACAAAAUGAUGUCCCCUCACCACAUGAACAGGUUGAUGUCCCAGCCCCGCCAUCACCACCUGGACAGAAUGAUGCCUCCACACAUGAACCUAAUUCUGCCAAUAAUACAAGGAAUUUAUUUCAAGUUGAAGAAGAGAUCAAUUGGGAAGAAGAAAUUAAAUUUGAUCCAGGUAAACGGAGAAGUAUAGAUGAGUAUCAUCCGAAUCUGAGAGAUAUGGUAAGAAGGAAGUAUUUGGCCAAUGGACCUUGUCAGCCUCGUACUGGUGAUUUUAAAGUAACAGAAAUAUGUGGUAGAGAUAGAAGGUUCGUUCGGGAAUGGCUUGAUGAGUUUGAGAGCUGGCUUGAGUAUAGCGAGUCCGAACACAAAGCAUAUUGUUUUUGUUGUUUCUUGUUUAGACCACGCAAGAAGAAAGAAUCUGGAUAUGAUGCAUUUGUUGCAAAUGGUUGGUCAAGUUGGAAUAAAAAAUAUAGAUUAAAGGAGCAUGUAGGAGACAUCAAUAGUGCUCACAACCAAGCAAAAAGAGAUUGUGAUGCUUUGCAGAAACAAAAGGAACACAUUUAUGUUGCUCUAAAUAACCAAAGUAAUGCUGAGAGGAUUGCUUAUUAUACUCGACUAAAUGCCUCAAUUGAUGUUGCUAGAGUGUUACUGAAGCAAGGGUUGCCUUUCCGUGGCCAUGAUGAGUCCGAGGAGUCUCUCAAUAAAGGCAAUUUCAUGGAAUUUCAUGCUUACACAGCAGAGCAGAAUCCAGCUGUAAGAAAAGUUGGGGCGCAUAAUGCUCCAGGUAAUAAUCAGUUGACUUCUUCGAAGAUUCAGAAGGACAUAGCUGAAUGUUUUGCAAAGGAAAUAUUACAUUCGGUUCUUCAGGAAAUUGGGAAUGAUGUAUUUUCUUUGUUGGUUGAUGAGUCGAGGGAUGUGGCUGGUAAAGAGCAAAUGCCAGUGGUAUUGGGGUAUGUUGGUAAAUGUGGAAGUGCCAUAGAGACAUUAGUUGGCCUUACUCAUGUGAAGGAGACAACCUCCAAGUAUCUCAAGUCUGCCAUUGAUGACUUAUUUGCAGAAUAUAAAUUAAGUUUCAAGCAAGUUAGAGGUCAAGGAUAUGACGGUGCAAGCAAUAUGAGAGAUCAUCAAAAAGAAAAGACAUGA